Molecule: ribosomal RNA, 234 nt
Filed under: uncultured Neisseriales bacterium
Lineage: Bacteria; Pseudomonadati; Pseudomonadota; Betaproteobacteria; Neisseriales
Description: partial 16S ribosomal RNA
Rfam family: Bacterial small subunit ribosomal RNA
Source: RNAcentral
GGCGAACGGGUGAGUAAUAUAUCGGAACGUACCGAGUAAUGGGGGAUAACUAAUCGAAAGAUUAGCUAAUACCGCAUAUUCUCUGAGGAGGAAAGCAGGGGACCUUCGGGCCUUGCGUUAUUCGAGCGGCCGAUAUCUGAUUAGCUAGUUGGUGGGGUAAAGGCCUACCAAGGCGACGAUCAGUAGCGGGUCUGAGAGGAUGAUCCGCCACACUGGGACUGAGACACGGCCCAG